UGCGUAGGCGGGUCUUUAAGUCAGGGGUGAAAUCCUGGAGCUCAACUCCAGAACUGCCUUUGAUACUGAGGAUCUUGAGUUCGGGAGAGGUGAGUGGAACUGCGAGUGUAGAGGUGAAAUUCGUAGAUAUUCGCAAGAACACCAGUGGCGAAGGCGGCUCACUGGCCCGAUACUGACGCUGAGGCAAGACUGGGGAGGCAAACA
Molecule: ribosomal RNA, 204 nt
Filed under: uncultured bacterium
Lineage: Bacteria
Description: partial 16S ribosomal RNA
Rfam family: Bacterial small subunit ribosomal RNA
Source: RNAcentral